Microcebus murinus (gray mouse lemur) is the source of this 2110-nucleotide non-coding RNA. Lineage: Eukaryota; Metazoa; Chordata; Mammalia; Primates; Cheirogaleidae. The record is from RefSeq and is a predicted model, not a curated record.
UUCCUGGUGGAAUUAUAUGUGAUCAUUACUCAUUGUCUCCGUGCUUUUUAAAAAACGGGCCUGAAAAAAAUUAAACAAAAGAAAGGAAACUUCCCUUCCUCCUCAAAUAUACUAGCAAACAAGAAGCUAUUAGAGCACAAUUCAAGUUAGUGUAGAUUUUGGUUGGUUGUGUGGAUGAGGCAGGGCUGGUGUGAAGCAGUGGUACUAAGGAGGAAGCAGGAAUCCCAAAAUAUAAAGGAUUGGACUAGUCAAUAAAAUUCUGAGAGUUGAGAGCAGUGUACCCAGUUCUGUUACAUGAGGUAGCUGGGCAGUGGGUGUGGUAGGGUCAGGUACCAGGACACCAAGCAACAGAAGCUAGAAUCCAAGUGAGGUCACAGAUGAAGCCAGGGGUCACUGGGUCAUUUAGGUCACUGGGAUGGAAGCUGAUAGGUGUCAGGGUGGGCAAGGCAAGGGGAAUGAAGGCUCAGAGUGAGCUUAUAUGAACCCCGAUUCUAAGGACUCUGGAUCCAAGAUCUUAUCAACUCUAAAAGCCAGACAUGGAAGGUGCCAGUGACUUUGGAGCUUCCCACAGGAUAGGAGCCAUGCAGGGGUGGUGCUGGGGUGUGAGAAGCUAUGUGAAAGAGAACGGAAGAUGGGUGUGAGGGAGAAUGGGUGAUGUAAGGGAUUAACUUCUGAGAGCCAAGGUCUGGGUGAAGCUGAGCCGCUCUUGCAGCCUGGGGACUUGAGAAACUGGUCAUGGGCAGCUGGGAUGAGGUCUGCUAACUCCCUGAGAAACUACUGACCUCUCCUUUGUGUCACACUUUGAAGUGUGACUGAAGAGGUGGUGUGGCCAUGUGGUCAGGAGUACGUUCUCAGCUCUGAUCAGCAACACCAAGGAGAGGUUCAAAUCAGUCCUUAGGUUGAUUCCUUGCCUUGGCCACUGCCAAUAGUGCUGCAAUGAACAGGGGAGUGGGGAUGUCUCUUUGAGGCAGUCUUCCUUUGCUAUUAUAUUUUGGGGGAGUGUAUCCUCUAGGGUCCUUUUGGUUGCAAACAACAGAUGUCUGCUUAAGUUAUUUUGGCUUACACAAAAAAGCACAUUUUCGUUGUCUCCUGCUGUGAUGACUUUAUUACCGGGACUCAAGAAGCUGACUUAAAAAAAAAAAAGGAAAAAAUAAGCUGACUCAAAGGCAGUGGUACAAGUGCUGACAUCUGCUGGAGGAAAAUUAUCUGUUUCUACAACUACGUGCAAUCAUGCGUCACUUAACGCAUCCUGAGAAGUGCGUCAUUAGGUGAUUUCACUGUUGUGUGACCAUCAAAUACGGGAACCUAAAUGGUAUAGCCUACUGCACACCUAGGCUAUAUGGCACAGCCUGUUAGGUUACCUAUCUGUAUAGCAGGUUACUGUGCUGAAUACUGUAACACAAUGGCAAGAACCAUCUGUGGAAGCUAAAGUUAGUGGGCGAAAGUGUGAUGAGAAGAAAAACACUUACAUAGUCUCCAAGUGUCUCCUCACAAGAUACUUAUUAACAACAAAGGGAAAAACAGUAAGCUUGCAGGUGAUCAGUCUGGUGGGCACCACUUAUCUGGGCGAUCAAAGUGAAUAUUGCCAGGAACAAGAUGCGUUGGCAGCAUGUGCCUCCUGCUGUGUGAUGUGCUGAGAAGGACACAGUGUCCCUUCUGUGGUGUUCUCGCCAAAAAUAUGUAACCACAAUCCAAUCAUGAAAAAACACCGGACACAGCCCAAAUGAGGAACAUUCUACAAAAUAAUUAACCACUAUUCUUCAAAAAUGUCACGGUCAGGAAGGACAAAGACUGAGGGAAAUGUCCCAGCUUGGAUGAGACUGAGGAGCUAGACAGCUCAAUGCAAUGUGGGAUCCUGGGACAGAAAAAGAACAUGCGUGGGACAGUUGACAAUGUUUGAAUAAGGUCUGGAGAUAAGUUCACAGUAUUGUAUCAGUGUUUAUGUCCUGGCUUUGCUAAUCACGAUAAUUAUGCUGUGGUUUUAUAAGAUGUUAAUAUGUGGGAGAGCUGGGUAAAGGGUAUUUUAGAAUUCUUUGUACUACUUUUGCAAUGUUUUCAAAGUCUAAAAUUAUUUCAAAAUGAAAAAUUAAAAACUAAAACAAGCUGACAA